CCUUCCCUCCUCCUCCACCUCUUCCUUCCCAGCCUUCCUCCUUCUGACUUCCUCCUCCUCAGCCCUCCUCUGCUCAGCUACCAGCCAAAUUCACACACAGCAGAACAGGUUUACCUGUGUGAAUAACUCUUAAAAGAUGAAGAAAUUGAGGGGAUCUCAGGCACGAAAGUUUUUCUACCUCCAUAUUCUUGAAUUACCUGUAAAAAGUUGUGUCAAAAAAUAGCAGGUGACCACAUAAAAUUUAUAAAGCAUCACAGGCAUUCCCAUUUGCUUCACAAUGACAUCACACCAAUAAAUUGUGAGAUUCGCCUCUGUGAGCAGAAGAGAGCUAGGCUGAAGUCUGAUUUUGGAUGUUUGGGUCUUGUCAAGCUCCUACAGAAGUUGAAUUGGUAAAACCAGGGUGUCUGAUUGCUGCACUUCCACUGCAGGCCAUGCAGUAAGGUAUGGUGUUGUUAUUGGACACGAAAUGAGUUCACAGAAGCUUGGUAAGUUUAAAAGAGAAAAAGUGCCACUUUUAUUCAAACAUCUGAUAUUUAUAGAAUUCCAAAGGUGACUGUGGAUUGGAGGAUGGAAUUACCACCUCUCCAACCACACUGCUCCAAGGAUCAAUCAAUAAUUUCUCUCCACCCACAGAGAAAUAUGUAAACUAUUCUAUUUACACAUGAAAUUGUGUGGGAACUCUGAUUCUCAAAUAUGUAAACAUUAUCAGAAGGCUAAAGAAGUUUUAGGAAAAUUUUAAACUUUUAAAAGAACUACAAAAGAAAACUUAACACUUUUAAAAAUCAGGGCAACAGUAUGGGGCACUCAGGAAUGACACAGGACUGGGAUUUCAUACUCCUUGCUGUUUCCAGACCUGGUCUGUGGUACUUCAGCUUCAGCUCAAACUUUCGGAAGAUCUGAUUCCCUUUUGGGAUCUGUGGGUUUCUGCCUACUUCAGGAAUAGGGUGCAUGUGGUGAGAAGAGCAGACUCACCAUCGUUACCGUUAACACACAAAUUGGUUUUUCAGGCAUUAUCCUCAUUCACCUUGGACAAGUGAUUUAGUUAAAUGAUGGGAUCUAAAUGUCUUCACCAAGACUAAGAGAAACUUGGCAUCUGCCCAGGCAGUAUUUGGUCACUGCAGUUUCUGAGCUAAAUGGGAGACAAGCCAAAAAAAAAAUUUUAAAGCUAUUUCCCUGGCUCAGAGAUGUUUGCAAACACUGACACAGUGCCCAUGGAUCAGACAGAAGUUAUGGAAGUUCAUUAAUUUAAAUAAUGAUCAGGAGCCUCACUCUGUUCCUCCAGUUUGUGUCAUGUUGUUGUGGAGGCAUCUACAGACAGGCAAAAUAAAGUACAGGUUGUGACAAGCCCACACUGUUUACCAUAUGUGGCUGAAGUGAAUUCUACAACUGAUCUUCUAAUAGUAUCAAGCAUAUUUGCCUUAAAAGUUAACUAAAUUUCUGUUUUCAGCAUUUUGCUGCACGUUUGAAGACUACUUUUGUGACACUUCAGUUUCAACAGAAGUGGCUUUUCCCUUCAUGAAACAAUGAUAUUCAUUAGGUGAUUUUACAAACAUUCCUUCACUGGAAUGGUGUUACACCUCAGCUUGUUCCUGAAUCUUCUUUUGGUUUUUUCUCAUUUUUGUUUCUCAGUGCAGCAUCUCAGUUCAAACUGUGACUGCGUGCUCUUUGUCAGAAGCUGCUUCUGGUGUUGCUAGAACCAUGUAGAACCCAGCAAGAUGGGAAGAGGGUGGCUGAGGCUGACAAGUGCCACAGCAAUACCUGUGACAUUGCACAAGCUUGAUUGUCAGAGUUCCAGUUCUCCUUGAUUCUGUCUCCCCAACAGCUAAAAUCGAGGCUUUUCGCAAGAACUUCUGCUAAAAGAAAAACUGAAAGUGCAACAGGGCAAACCAAAUUACAGCAAAAUUCCAACAUGUUUUUCCUCAGGAAGAUCCCAACCCUGCUGUCAUCAGUGGAAGCAGCAGUUUGCUCUGAACUCGAUACUGCAUUGAUCUCGUCUGUGCCUCCAUGCAGAAACAUCUAAAUGAGCAUUUGUUUUUUCUAGUAUUAACUUUUAAAAAGAAACAACCACUCCCCUGUGGAGAGGCAUUCAUAUGAGCUGACAAGAAGCAUCCUCUCUUUUCAGGUUCCAAAAAGUGGUGAUUUCAGUGCAGGAAGGUGAGCCUUGUCUCCAAGACCUUUUUCUCUUUGGGCUGCAGAAACAACAGCCAACUUCUUUGUAGCCUAAAUUAGCUGAGGAUAAAGAAAAACCAACACUCUGGGGAAAAUUCUGAGGGAAACAAGAAGGAGGAGAGAAAAAAUUCUUCACCUGAAAAAAAAUCCAAACUUUUUAGAAUAAAACAAACUUUUCAAAAUAAAAUAGAUUUUUCAAUUUCUGAGACUUUUAGGCUAAAAAAAAAAAGGGUGUCUUUUCCUAUUAAGAAAAUUGCUUUCACUUUCCUGCAAUGAAGGGAGUUUCUAAUGAUGAGAGAAGUUGAGUGUAGCUGAAGUGGGGAUCCAGCUAUCAAUGCGUCACCAGCUAAAUGUGAUUUGAGAUGCAGUUUGCUUUUCUGUAUCUCAGAUCUCAGGGCUAAACCACAAACUGUACAUGACACAACUAAAUUAAUAUUUAAAAAUAAUUACUUGCUGCCUGAAGGUAAACAGAAAAAGGGUAAAUAAUUGAUAGCACUGGGACUGCCACACUGUAACUCUGCUGAGCGUUUAUGAUGUGCUGUGAAGGUUCAAAGGGAUUGCUCGUCUGCUGCCUCUGAAGGAGGGUUUUUGCUAAUCAUUCCAGGGCUUGUUUUGUCAGCCAGCAAUGUUUUCAGAGUUUGAAGCACCAGAAUAGAAUGCCAGCUUAAUUUAGCCCAUCAACAUCUGAAGGGAAAUUUUAUGUGGUCUGCUGCCAAGAAUGUAGAAUAACUUGCAUUUAAGGAGUUGUUACAUAACAUGCCAUCCUAUGACAAUACCUGUCUGCAGAGCCUGGUGAUGCCUUGAGAGUUGGUGGCUCUUCUCUUUUCAGUGAGGUGUAUGCCAGCAGCAGAGAAGCCGUCCGAGUGAAGCUUCCCAGAGAAUGCAGUAAAUACAUGCAAUAAAGAGAUUUUUCUAGUGAAAUCCCCACUUGUGAACUGUUCAUGGGUGUAAGAAAAAUGGAUCUGAGGUCUUGCCACCUGAGUUCCCUUCCUCUCCCUCAGUAGGUUAUCAGCAUGAAAACAGGAAAUGAAUUGGACACCAUUAAUAAAACAUGAAGCCUUCGUGUUCAGGUUCUGUGCUCUGUCGUUCAAGUGAAGAAGACACUGUGUGAGAAGGAAUCAGAGGAGUGACAUCCACAAGUUCAUUUACUCUUUUUAACUACACAGCAAACUUUGGCUCAGACUUGGAAGCAAACCAUUCUUUUCUUCCCCUGAAUUUAUUGAAAAGCUUUUAAGCCCUCAUAUAGAAAACCUGAGGGAUUGUUACUGAACUGAGAGUAGUCUUUCAGAACAUAAAAUGUUUUCCUAAUAGAUUUCACCAAUAAUUAGAUAUUGUCAAUACUGAUUUUUUACUUAGCAGUGUCUUUCACUGUGAUAUAAAAUUUUAGACCUUGUUUUCUUGCAUUUAUUUUUGGAGCUUUUGGCAUGGCACAGACUUUUUUUCACUGUGAUAGAUGUCCUUUUUUUUGCCAGUUGCUUGUUUGUGAUUUCAGCCGCAUCCUCAGAAAAGUACCUUGAUCUUUUUUGGGGGCUCAUUUCGCUAGAGGAAAAUGUAUGAUUGACCCAUCUCAUAAAAUCAUUGUUUUUCACCAAAGAACAAAUUACUAACUUCAAAGAAUAGAAACCUAUAUGAAGCAGACUGAAGGACACCCCACCACUGGCAGCACCACCACCUUUUCUGUCUGUGCUUUGAAACCCUCUCGUGAAAGCUCAUGGUCCCAGCAGCAAUCCAGUGAUGGGAGUUUGCAAACUUGUUAGGAAAAAGUCAUGGGAACAAAAGUAGAAGACCCGGUUCAGCCAGAAAAAGAAGACUUCUGCAGUUGUAAUAAAGGCUUGGUUUGCUCUA
Taeniopygia guttata (zebra finch) is the source of this 4014-nucleotide long non-coding RNA. RefSeq lists it as uncharacterized. The record is from RefSeq and is a predicted model, not a curated record. NCBI's taxonomy places the organism in Eukaryota, Metazoa, Chordata, Aves, Passeriformes, Estrildidae.